GAAACGCGAUAGGUAAUGUGAAUUGCAGAAUUCCGUGAAUCAUCGAAUCUUUGAACGCACAUUGCGCCUUCUGGUAUUCCGGUAGGCAUGCCUGUUUGAGCGUCAGCAAAACCCCUCAGCAAAUGUAUUUUUGUUGGUCAUGGGCCAGGGAGGAAAUGGGGAGGACUUGUCCUUCCGCUCCCGCCUUAAACUUGCUGCAUGACCGCAAGCUCUGGCUAGGUUAAUGGAGUGGUAUUUACUUAUAUUCCGAACACCUCAGCUGCUGCUCCGCGGCGUUAAACGUGAUGUUGCUCAUAUUGCAACUGAAGUUUGACCUCAAAUCAGACAAGGAUACCCGCUGAACUUAA
RNAcentral lists this unclassified non-coding RNA (347 nucleotides) under uncultured Orbiliales. Its description in RNAcentral is "sequence contains ITS1". The stretch from base 1 to 105 matches the Rfam family "5.8S ribosomal RNA", at positions 50 to 154 of the family's 154-position model. The record is from RNAcentral. Lineage: Eukaryota; Fungi; Ascomycota; Orbiliomycetes; Orbiliales.